AGAACGAACGCUGGCGGCAGGCUUAACACAUGCAAGUCGAACGAUGUAGCAAUACAUAGUGGCGCACGGGUGAGUAACACGUGGGAACGUGCCCUUCAGUCCGGAAUAACUACUGGAAACGGUAGCUAAAACCGGAUAUUCCCUCCGGGGGAAAGUUUACGCUGAAGGAUCGGCCCGCGUUAGAUUAGGUAGUUGGUGGGGUAAUGGCCUACCAAGCCUACGAUCUAUAGCUGGUCUGAGAGGACGACCAGCCACACUGGAACUGAGACACGGUCCAGACUCCUACGGGAGGCAGCAGUGGGGAAUAUUGGACAAUGGGCGAAAGCCUGAUCCAGCCAUGCCGCGUGAGUGAUGAAGGCCUUAGGGUUGUAAAAGCUCUUUUAUCAGGGAAGAUAAUGACGGUACCUGAAGAUAAGCACCGGCUAACUUCGUGCCAGCAGCCGC
This 444-nucleotide ribosomal RNA is filed under the name uncultured bacterium. Its description in RNAcentral is "SSU rRNA". It matches the Rfam family "Bacterial small subunit ribosomal RNA", at positions 26 to 518 of the family's 1533-position model. The record is from RNAcentral.